CGAACGGGUCUUCGGAUUAGUGGCCGACGGGUGAGUAACGCGUGAGAAUCUGCCUUCAGGAGGGGACAACAGUUGGAAACGACUGCUAAUACCCGAUAUGACGAAGUUGAAAGAUUUAUGCCUGGAGAUGAGCUCGCGUCAGAUUAGCUAGAUGGUGGGUAAGGCCACCAUGGCGACGAUCUGUAGCUGGUCUGAGAGGAUGAGCAGCCACACUGGGACUGAGACACGGCCCAGACUCCUACGGGAGGCAGCAGUGGGGAAUUUUCCGCAAUGGGCGCAAGCCUGACGGAGCAAACCGCGUGAGGGAGGAAGGCUCUUGGGUCGUAAACCUCUUUUCUCAGGGAAGUGACGGUACCUGAGGAAUAAGCAUCGGCUAACUCCGUGCCAGCAGCCGCGGUAAUACGGAGGAUGCAAGCGUUAUCCGGAAUGAUUGGGCGUAAAGCGUCCGUAGGUGGUUUGUAAGUCUGUGGUUAAAGUGAGCUUAACUCAUAACGGCCAUGGAAACUAGACUAGAGUAAGUAGGGGUAGAGGGAAUUCCCAGUGUAGCGGUGAAAUGCGUAGAGAUUGGGAAGAACACCGGUGGCGAAAGCGCUCUACUGGACUUUACUGACACUGAGGGACGAAAGCUAGGGGAGCGAAAGGGAUUAGAUACCCCUGUAGUCCUAGCCGUAAACGAUGGAUACUAGGUGUUGCCGUAUCGACCC
Molecule: ribosomal RNA, 704 nt
Filed under: uncultured Chamaesiphon sp.
Lineage: Bacteria; Bacillati; Cyanobacteriota; Cyanophyceae; Gomontiellales; Chamaesiphonaceae
Description: bacterial SSU rRNA
Rfam family: Bacterial small subunit ribosomal RNA
Source: RNAcentral